This 393-nucleotide ribosomal RNA is filed under the name uncultured bacterium. Its description in RNAcentral is "partial 16S ribosomal RNA". It matches the Rfam family "Bacterial small subunit ribosomal RNA", at positions 523 to 918 of the family's 1533-position model. The record is from RNAcentral.
AUACGGAGGAUGCGAGCGUUAUCCGGAUUUAUUGGGUUUAAAGGGUGCGUAGGCGGGCUGGUAAGUCAGCGGUGAAACGCAGGUGCUCAACACCUGACCUGCCGUUGAAACUGCCGGUCUUGAAUGCGGAUGCUGUGGGAGGAAUGUGUGGUGUAGCGGUGAAAUGCAUAGAUAUCACACAGAACACCGAUUGCGAAGGCAUCUCACAAAUCCGUGAUUGACGCUGAGGCACGAAAGUGCGGGGAUCGAACAGGAUUAGAUACCCUGGUAGUCCGCACUGUAAACGAUGAUGACUCGCUGUCGGCGAUAGACAGUCGGUGGCCAAGCGAAAGCGAUAAGUCAUCCACCUGGGGAGUACGACCGCAAGGUUGAAACUCAAAUGAAUUGGCGGGG